This 292-nucleotide ribosomal RNA is filed under the name uncultured bacterium. RNAcentral's name for it is "partial 16S ribosomal RNA". The record is from RNAcentral. RNAcentral also lists the same sequence under 1 other name.
GGACUACCAGGGUAUCUAAUCCUGUUUGAUCCCCACGCUUUCGUGCCUCAGCGUCAGUUACAAUUUAGCGAGCUGCCUUCGCAAUCGGUGUUCUGUGUCAUAUCUAAGCAUUUCACCGCUACAUGACACAUUCCGCCCGCUUCAAGUGUACCCAAUCCCUACAGUUUUACGGCCAGUUUCCUCGUUAAGCGAGGAGAUUUCAGCCAUAACUUAUAGGGAGGCCUACGCACCCUUUAAACCCAAUAAAUCCGGAUAACGCUCGGGUCCUUCGUAUUACCGCGGCUGCUGGCAC